This 213-nucleotide ribosomal RNA is filed under the name uncultured Lactobacillus sp. RNAcentral describes it as "partial 16S ribosomal RNA". It matches the Rfam family "Bacterial small subunit ribosomal RNA", at positions 149 to 353 of the family's 1533-position model. Lineage: Bacteria; Bacillati; Bacillota; Bacilli; Lactobacillales; Lactobacillaceae. The record is from RNAcentral.
CCUGGAAACAGAUGCUAAUACCGGAUAACAACAGAUGAUGCCUAUCAACUGUUUAAAAGAUGGUUCUGCUAUCACUCUUGGAUGGACCUGCGGUGCAUUAGCUAGUUGGUAGGGUAACGGCCUACCAAGGCGAUGAUGCAUAGCCGAGUUGAGAGACUGAUCGGCCACAUUGGGACUGAGACACGGCCCAAACUCCUACGGGAGGCAGCAACC